CCAAACUUGGUCAUUUAGAGGAAGUAAAAGUCGUAACAAGGUCUCCGUUGGUGAACCAGCGGAGGGAUCAUUACAGAGUUUUCUAAACUCCCAACCCAUGUGUAUCUACUAUUCUGUUGCCUCGGCGGGCUCUGCUCCCCCUUAGGGAAUAGGUCCAAGCCUGCCGGUGGCCCAACUAAACUCUUGAAUUAUUUGUCAUCUGAGAGUUAUUUUUAAAAUAAGUCAAAACUUUCAACACUGGAUCUCUUGGCUCUUGCAUCGAUGAAGAACGCAGC
This 275-nucleotide unclassified non-coding RNA is filed under the name uncultured fungus. Its description in RNAcentral is "partial contains small subunit ribosomal RNA, internal transcribed spacer 1, and 5.8S ribosomal RNA". The stretch from base 1 to 73 matches the Rfam family "Eukaryotic small subunit ribosomal RNA", at positions 1759 to 1831 of the family's 1831-position model. The record is from RNAcentral. Lineage: Eukaryota; Fungi.